This 837-nucleotide ribosomal RNA is filed under the name Panorpodes paradoxus. RNAcentral describes it as "partial 16S rRNA". Lineage: Eukaryota; Metazoa; Arthropoda; Insecta; Mecoptera; Panorpodidae. The record is from RNAcentral.
GAAGGUGUAUCUAGAAAGACAAAUUAGAGCUUGAAAAGUAAAGCAUUUCAUUUACAUUGAAAAGUAUAUUGUGGGAUUCAAUUUAAUUUGAUAAUAAAAAUUUAUUAAUUUUUUUUGUUUAAAAAUUUAUUUAAUAAAAUUAAUUUUAAAUUUAUUUUUUUUGUAUAAUAUAUUGAUCAAAUAAUUUAUAUAAUAGUUAAUUAGUAUUGUAAAAGAAUAUUGAAAUAUAUGAAAAAGUUUUAAAUUAAAAGUAAAUUUUAUAUAUUGUACCUUGUGUAUCAGGGUUUAUUAAUUAAAAGUUAAAAAUUUAAUUUUUCUCGAAUUUAAGAGAGUUAAUUUAUUAUUUAAUUUUUUGUUUCAUAAAAAUUUAAAAUAAUAAAUUAGAAAUGAAAUGUUAUUCGUUCUUAAAAAUAUCUAGUUUUUUAAGAAAUAAAUUAAAUUUAGAUUAUUAAUAAAUAAUUAUUUAUUUAAAUAAUAAGUUAUUAUUAAUAAUUAAUAUUUUAAGGGAUAAGCUUUAAAGUAAGUUUUAUAAUAAUUUUUUAAUUUAAAAAUUAUAGGUUUAGAAAUAGUCAUUAAUUAUAAAAAUGUUAUAAUUUAUUUUAAAUUAAAAAUAAUUUUUAUUAGUUUAAAUUUUUUAUUAAAAUAAUUUUUAAAAUUAUGUAAGAAUUAAAAUAAUGAUAAAAUUAGUAUAUUUUAAUUAUUUAAAAUAAAUAAAUUGAAAGGUUAAAUUAAGGAACUUGGCAAAUAAAUACUCGCCUGUUUAACAAAAACAUGUCUUUUUGAGUAUAAUUUAAAGUCUAAUCUGCCCACUGAAAAAUUUUAAAGGGCCGCGGUAUU